Aquila chrysaetos chrysaetos is the source of this 341-nucleotide long non-coding RNA. RefSeq lists it as uncharacterized. The record is from RefSeq and is a predicted model, not a curated record. The transcript is spliced from 3 exons. NCBI's taxonomy places the organism in Eukaryota, Metazoa, Chordata, Aves, Accipitriformes, Accipitridae.
CACCCGACUUCUGCUUGUAAGAAAAGUAUCCCACGUGCGAAAAAAUUUGUGUCGAAGAAAAUGCGUGGCUGUGGCGUUGCUUAAGGACAUUCCCCCUGUGACCUUCAGCAGUUUUGCAGCUCAGAGCUACAGGAAUUGAGUGACAAGUGCUGGGAGAAUUAGCUCUGCUGGGGAAACGUCCACAUGAACCCAACAAACACCAGGAGCUUUCGGCAAUCCGUCUCCCUUGGCCUAUUUCACUCGAACACAGUUGGAAGACUCUGGAUUUUUCUUCCCGGUUGUGACAUUCUUUUAAUUCCUACAAAGCUAGCAAGUCAUCCGAACAACUGCAGCAGAUGAGA